AUUGAACGCUGGCGGCAUGCCUUACACAUGCAAGUCGAACGGCAGCACGGGGGCAACCCUGGUGGCGAGUGGCGAACGGGUGAGUAACACAUCGGAACGUGCCCAGUAGUGGGGGAUAGCUCGGCGAAAGCCGGAUUAAUACCGCAUACGACCUACGGGUGAAAGCGGGGGAUCGCAAGACCUCGCGCUAUUGGAGCGGCCGAUGUCAGAUUAGGUUGUUGGUGGGGAAAGGCCUACCAAGCCGACGAUCUGUAGCUGGUCUGAGAGGACGACCAGCCACACUGGGACUGAGACACGGCCCAGACUCCUACGGGAGGCAGCAGUGGGGAAUUUUGGACAAUGGGCGCAAGCCUGAUCCAGCCAUGCCGCGUGCGGGAAGAAGGCC
RNAcentral lists this ribosomal RNA (385 nucleotides) under uncultured bacterium. Its description in RNAcentral is "bacterial SSU rRNA". It matches the Rfam family "Bacterial small subunit ribosomal RNA", at positions 29 to 416 of the family's 1533-position model. The record is from RNAcentral.